This is a non-coding RNA of Triticum aestivum (bread wheat), 56 nucleotides long. NCBI's taxonomy places the organism in Eukaryota, Viridiplantae, Streptophyta, Magnoliopsida, Poales, Poaceae. The record is from Rfam.
ACUCAGUUGGUAGAGUACAAAGCUCUUAACCUUAUGGACGUGGGUUCAAGCCCCAU